UUCAAUGAUGAUAACGCUACAUAGGAAGUGCCGUCUGAUGCGAUAACUGACGAUGGAUUAGCGUUGUCCUGAGA
Molecule: small nucleolar RNA, 74 nt
Organism: Anguilla rostrata (American eel)
Lineage: Eukaryota; Metazoa; Chordata; Actinopteri; Anguilliformes; Anguillidae
Product: small nucleolar RNA SNORD49
Exons: 1
Source: RefSeq, a predicted model, not a curated record